CUUAAAUAUUUUAAAAUUAAUUAAUAAUCAACAAAAUAUUUUGGGGAGUUGAAAAUACGCGUAAAUCUAAAAAUUCCCGAAUAUGUCAACUUUUAAAACUGCUACUAAAUACGUAAGUAGGCAAAAGACGAUCUAGCGCACCAAAACAUCUUAAUAACCAGAGAAAAAGAAAGCAAACGUGUCGCAGUAGCGACGAGCGAAAUGGGAGCAGCCUAAAUUGUGAAAACUGGGUUGUGAAAGAGUAAUACAAGUGUCAUGUUGCUAGGCGAAGCGGUAGAGUGCUAUACCUAAAUAGCGAGAGUCCAGUAAUUGAAAGUAUCACUAGCUUACGCUCUUAUCCUAGUAGUAUAGGGUACAUAGAAUUCUAUGUAAAUUAGCAAGAACCAUCUUGCAAAGCUAAAUACUCAUAGUUACGGUAGCGAAAUAGUAAUAUGAGGAAAUGGUGAAAAGAAUCCCGUUGAGGAGUGAAAUAGAA
Molecule: non-coding RNA, 475 nt
Filed under: Ricinus communis (castor bean)
Lineage: Eukaryota; Viridiplantae; Streptophyta; Magnoliopsida; Malpighiales; Euphorbiaceae
Description: Bacterial large subunit ribosomal RNA
Rfam family: Bacterial large subunit ribosomal RNA
Source: Rfam by way of RNAcentral